This 102-nucleotide microRNA precursor is filed under the name Marmota monax (woodchuck). The record is from RNAcentral. Lineage: Eukaryota; Metazoa; Chordata; Mammalia; Rodentia; Sciuridae.
AGUGGGACAACUGGGUCAAGUGAUUGCUCCAUUCCAAGUUUUCUGAGGAAUCUCCAUACUGCUUUCCAGAAUGGUUGCACAAUUUGCAGUCCCACCAGCAGU